GUUGGGUGUGGAAGCAUAGCGAUAUGUGAAGCUGACCAAUACUAAUUGCUCGUGAGGCUUGACUAUACAACACCCAAACAGUUG
RNAcentral lists this ribosomal RNA (84 nucleotides) under Acinetobacter indicus. Its description in RNAcentral is "partial 23S ribosomal RNA". The record is from RNAcentral. Lineage: Bacteria; Pseudomonadati; Pseudomonadota; Gammaproteobacteria; Moraxellales; Moraxellaceae.